Molecule: long non-coding RNA, 450 nt
Filed under: Homo sapiens (human)
Lineage: Eukaryota; Metazoa; Chordata; Mammalia; Primates; Hominidae
Description: non-protein coding SPATA41:6
Source: RNAcentral
CUUGUUCCUCUCACCGUUACCUCUGGAUGCCUCGGGGCAAAGGCCUUCUUCCACCUAUAGACAGAGUCUACGCAGGGGUCUUGGAACCCGGGCACACCAGUCCCCAGCUAACGAAAUCCCCGAGUUGGGGGAUUUGAGAGGGUCACGUUUGGCCCAAGAACCCGCAGUCCUCUUUGGUCUUCGGCCCUCUAUUUCUAAGCGUGGGCUUCUGGCACGGCGGCUCUGGGCACAGCCCAUGCUGCUUUCGGGCUGGGUGGUUUCAACGACGACAACAAUUAUCACAGUGACGGUGACCUUCACCCCAACAGGACUGCUGUGUGUGAAGCACUCAAGAGGGCCCCUACAACCAACCUGCCAGGAGUCGGCUCCUGAAAACAGGGUCGGAAAAGAUCUCAGUCCUCUAUCUGUGAAACGGAAUUCGGCCUUGCCUGUCCACGAAAUGAAGACAAG